UCUCUCUCAGAGUCGCACCUGGAGAGUUUCUAGUUCUCUACCAGUCUCGGCUACCAGAGGGAGAGUCAAGCAGAGGUAUACUCAUUCCAUUCCUAGCUUGGGACAGUGGGCUAGACAGUGGAAGACAAUCUGCUACAAGU
Ornithorhynchus anatinus (platypus) is the source of this 140-nucleotide non-coding RNA. NCBI's taxonomy places the organism in Eukaryota, Metazoa, Chordata, Mammalia, Monotremata, Ornithorhynchidae. The record is from Rfam.